CACAUUUCGAGUACUUGGACCCAAGAUCCUGGCACAAAUUGAAAGCUGUGGUGCCUUCAUGAGACAGGACCAGGCUGUCGAAAGUGGGUCCCCAGAGGUGUGCCUGGAGAAUUGUACCUGAUCCUGGCUCCAGGUAUGUGAAUGUGCAUGUGAGCGGUGCCCUGGAGCAGAGACAUCAGAUGCUUUGCAAAUGGAAGGACAAACACAUAAUCUUCUUGGAGCAUGGCUUUUGAAAGAACAAUUUUGUACAUUUGAGGUGCUGAGGAUAAAACUCUGGACUUACACAUAGCUGGCCAAUGAUCUACUACUGAACAACAUCCCCAUACCAAAAUCAUAGUGCAGAUUAGCCUCAUACUCAUGAUCCUACUCAUGAGCCUUAUUCUCCUCAAAUCUGUCAUUAUUGUUGAGAACACCUAUCCACUUCCAAGUAGAAAGGCAAAGGACUUCAUGAGGAGACAGACAACAAAUGCACAAUUAAACUCAAGUUCACAUCUUCCUGAAGAUGUGGAACUGAAACAGCUGAGAAGUCUUUUCCAUGAUGCGUUAAUGAAAAGGACCAUUCUGAUUUCUACUAUAGGCUUAUGAAGGGGAAAGUGCCAUCAAUGUAAAUAUCAAAACAGGAAAUAAAUGAUUCCUCACUUUGACAUCCAGGUUGUGGGCCCCGGCCUGAAGCUAAGAAGGGGUUGAAGCAUGCCUAAAGCCCCAGGUGUUCUCAUCCUGAGAACAGCAGGAGUUUGGCUGUUCUGUCACUUUGCCCAGGCAGCCCCCAGCAGUUAGUCUUCCCUGAGGGCCUGAUACAAGUAGCAACACAUAUCUCCAAGGAGGAACUGGUUGCUGUUUAUCUCACCACUGAAACAUUCCAGGCUGGAUUCCUGUAUGACUUUUUGAGGUUCCUUUUCCUGGCAAUUGAGUAUGCAAAGGACAUUCCCUCAAUGUUCUUGCCCCAACCAAUGACAUACCAUCACAUGGAUCCAACCGGACACUCCUCCUAGCAUAUAAAUGUCCCUUGCUCCCUCUGAAUAAGUGAGCUAUCCACUG
Molecule: long non-coding RNA, 1038 nt
Organism: Peromyscus maniculatus bairdii (prairie deer mouse)
Lineage: Eukaryota; Metazoa; Chordata; Mammalia; Rodentia; Cricetidae
Source: RefSeq, a predicted model, not a curated record